RNAcentral lists this ribosomal RNA (818 nucleotides) under Janthinobacterium sp. F_28. RNAcentral describes it as "bacterial SSU rRNA". It matches the Rfam family "Bacterial small subunit ribosomal RNA", at positions 56 to 871 of the family's 1533-position model. The record is from RNAcentral. Lineage: Bacteria; Pseudomonadati; Pseudomonadota; Betaproteobacteria; Burkholderiales; Oxalobacteraceae.
UGCAGUCGACGGCAGCACGGAGCUUGCUCUGGUGGCGAGUGGCGAACGGGUGAGUAAUAUAUCGGAACGUACCCUAGAGUGGGGGAUAACGUAGCGAAAGUUACGCUAAUACCGCAUACGAUCUAAGGAUGAAAGUGGGGGAUCGCAAGACCUCAUGCUCGUGGAGCGGCCGAUAUCUGAUUAGCUAGUUGGUAGGGUAAAAGCCUACCAAGGCAUCGAUCAGUAGCUGGUCUGAGAGGACGACCAGCCACACUGGAACUGAGACACGGUCCAGACUCCUACGGGAGGCAGCAGUGGGGAAUUUUGGACAAUGGGCGAAAGCCUGAUCCAGCAAUGCCGCGUGAGUGAAGAAGGCCUUCGGGUUGUAAAGCUCUUUUGUCAGGGAAGAAACGGUGAGAGCUAAUAUCUCUUGCUAAUGACGGUACCUGAAGAAUAAGCACCGGCUAACUACGUGCCAGCAGCCGCGGUAAUACGUAGGGUGCAAGCGUUAAUCGGAAUUACUGGGCGUAAAGCGUGCGCAGGCGGUUUUGUAAGUCUGAUGUGAAAUCCCCGGGCUCAACCUGGGAAUUGCAUUGGAGACUGCAAGGCUAGAAUCUGGCAGAGGGGGGUAGAAUUCCACGUGUAGCAGUGAAAUGCGUAGAUAUGUGGAGGAACACCGAUGGCGAAGGCAGCCCCCUGGGUCAAGAUUGACGCUCAUGCACGAAAGCGUGGGGAGCAAACAGGAUUAGAUACCCUGGUAGUCCACGCCCUAAACGAUGUCUACUAGUUGUCAGGGUCUUAAUUGACUUGGUAACGCAGCUAACGCGGGAAGUAGACCG